CCAUUAGAGGGGGAUAACUUGGCGAAAGUCAAGCUAAUACCGCGUAAGCUCGGGAGAGGAAAGCAGGGGAUCUUAGGACCUUGCGCUGAUGGAGCGGCCGAUGACUGAUUAGCUAGUUGGUGGGGUAAAGGCCUACCAAGGCGACGAUCGGUAGCUGGUCUGAGAGGAUGAUCAGCCACACUGGGGAUGAGAGACGGCCCAGACUCCUACGGGAGGCAGCAGUGGGGAAUUUUGGACAAUGGGCGGAAGCCUGAUCCAGCAAUGCCGCGUGGGUGAAGAAGGCCUUAGGGUUGUAAAGCCCUUUCGGUAGGGAAGAAAAGGUAUUUUUAAAUAGAGGAUACUGAUGACGGUACCUGCAGAAGAAGCACCGGCAAACUACGUGCCAGCAGCCGCGGUAACACGUAGGGUGCGAGCGUUAAUCGGAAUUAUUGGGCGUAAAGGGUACGCAGGCGGGUGUGUAAGUCAGGUGUGAAAUUCCUGGGCUCAACUUGGGGACAGCACUUGAGACUGCAUAGCUAGAGUAUGGCAGAGGGGGGUGGAAUUUCACGUGUAGCAGUGAAAUGCGUAGAGAUGUGAAGGAACACCGAUGGCGAAGGCAGCCCCCUGGGCCGUUACUGACGCUCAUGUACGAAAGCGUGGGGAGCGAACAGGAUUAGAUACCCUGGUAGUCCACGCCCUAAACGAUGUCGACUAGUUGUUGGGGUUAUUAUAACUUUAGUAACGUAGCUAACGCGUGAAGUCGACCGCCUGGGGAGUACGAUCGCAAGAUUAAAACUCAAAGGAAUUGACGGGGACCCGCACAAGCGGUGGAUGAUGUGGAU
This 821-nucleotide ribosomal RNA is filed under the name uncultured beta proteobacterium. Its description in RNAcentral is "bacterial SSU rRNA". It matches the Rfam family "Bacterial small subunit ribosomal RNA", at positions 130 to 946 of the family's 1533-position model. The record is from RNAcentral. Lineage: Bacteria; Pseudomonadati; Pseudomonadota; Betaproteobacteria.